Molecule: ribosomal RNA, 536 nt
Filed under: uncultured bacterium
Lineage: Bacteria
Description: bacterial SSU rRNA
Rfam family: Bacterial small subunit ribosomal RNA
Source: RNAcentral
CCCGGGCUUGACAUGCACGGAUUAGCUGGCGGAAACGUCAGUAACGCCGCAAGGUGGAACGUGCACAGGUGCUGCAUGGCUGUCGUCAGCUCGUGUCGUGAGAUGUUGGGUUAAGUCCCGUAACGAGCGAAACCCCUGCCUCUAGUUGCCAGCACGUCAUGGUGGGAACUCUAGAGGGACCGCCGGCGUUAAGCCGGAGGAAGGCGGGGAUGACGUCAAGUCCUCAUGGCCCUUAUGCCCGGGGCUGCACACGUGCUACAAUGGGGCGGACAAAGCGACGCGAAACCGCAAGGUCAUAGCCAAUCGCAAAAACCGUUCCUCAGUUCGGAUUGUGGGCUGCAACCCGCCUACAUGAAGCCGGAAUCGCUAGUAAUCGCGGAUCAGCAUUGCCGCGGUGAAUGGGUUCCUGAGCCUUGUACACACCGCCCGUCAAGCCACCAAAGCGGGGGGCAUCCGAAGUCGCCGGAGCCUCACGGCAGGCGCCGAAGAUGAAACCCGUGAUGGGGACUAAGUCGUAACAAGGUAGGCGUAGUGCU